This 490-nucleotide ribosomal RNA is filed under the name uncultured bacterium. Its description in RNAcentral is "partial 16S ribosomal RNA". It matches the Rfam family "Bacterial small subunit ribosomal RNA", at positions 29 to 505 of the family's 1533-position model. The record is from RNAcentral.
AGUGAACGCUGGCGGUAGGCCUAACACAUGCAAGUCGAACGGCAGCACAGUAAGAGCUUGCUCUUACGGGUGGCGAGUGGCGGACGGGUGAGGAAUACAUCGGAAUCUACUUUUUCGUGGGGGAUAACGUAGGGAAACUUACGCUAAUACCGCAUACGACCUACGGGUGAAAGCAGGGGAUCUUCGGACCUUGCGCGAUUGAAUGAGCCGAUGUCGGAUUAGCUAGUUGGCGGGGUAAAGGCCCACCAAGGCGACGAUCCGUAGCUGGUCUGAGAGGAUGAUCAGCCACACUGGGACUGAGACCCGGUCCAGACUCCUACGGGAGGCAGCAGUGGUAAAUAUUGGACAAUGGGCGCAAGCCUGAUCCAGCCAUACCGCGUGGGUGAAGAAGGCCUUCGGGUUGUAAAGCCCUUUUGUUGGGAAAGAAAAUCAGCAGGUUAAUACCCCGCUGUUCUGACGGUACCCAAAGAAUAAGCCCCGGCUAACUUCG